AAACUUAAAUGAAUUGACGGGGACCCGCACAAGCGGUGGAUGAUGUGGUUUAAUUCGAUGCAACGCGAAAAACCUUACCCACCUUUGACAUGUACGGAAUUUGCCAGAGAUGGCAUUAGUGCUCGAAAGAGAGCCGUAACACAGGUGCUGCAUGGCUGUCGUCAGCUCGUGUCGUGAGAUGUUGGGUUAAGUCCCGCAACGAGCGCAACCCUUGUCAUUAGUUGCUACAUUUAGUUGGGCACUCUAAUGAGACUGCCGGUGACAAACCGGAGGAAGGUGGGGAUGACGUCAAGUCCUCAUGGCCCUUAUAGGUGGGGCUACACACGUCAUACAAUGGCUGGUACAAAGGGUUGCCAACCCGCGAGGGGGAGCUAAUCCCAUAAAACCAGUCGUAGUCCGGAUCGCAGUCUGCAACUCGACUGCGUGAAGUCGGAAUCGCUAGUAAUCGUGGAUCAGAAUGUCACGGUGAAUACGUUCCCGGGUCUUGUACACACCGCCCGUCACACCAUGGGAGCGGGUUCUGCCAGAAGUAGUUAGCCUAACCGUAAGGAGGGCGAUUACCACGGCAGGGUUCGUGACUGGGGUGAAGUCGUAACAAGGUAGCCGUAUCGGAAGGUGCGGCUGGAUCACCUCCUUUG
Molecule: ribosomal RNA, 638 nt
Filed under: uncultured Caenimonas sp.
Lineage: Bacteria; Pseudomonadati; Pseudomonadota; Betaproteobacteria; Burkholderiales; Comamonadaceae
Description: bacterial SSU rRNA
Rfam family: Bacterial small subunit ribosomal RNA
Source: RNAcentral